RNAcentral lists this ribosomal RNA (429 nucleotides) under uncultured bacterium. RNAcentral's name for it is "bacterial SSU rRNA". It matches the Rfam family "Bacterial small subunit ribosomal RNA", at positions 965 to 1395 of the family's 1533-position model. The record is from RNAcentral.
AGAACCUUACCAGGUCUUGACAUCUUCUGCCAGGCUGAGAGAUCAGCUGUUCCCUUCGGGGACAGAAUGACAGGUGGUGCAUGGUUGUCGUCAGCUCGUGUCGUGAGAUGUUGGGUUAAGUCCCGCAACGAGCGCAACCCUUAUGAUCAGUUGCCAGCAUUCAGUUGGGCACUCUGGUCAGACUGCCGGUGACAAACCGGAGGAAGGCGGGGAUGACGUCAAAUCAUCAUGCCCCCUAUGACCUGGGCUACACACGUGCUACAAUGGGUGGUACAACGAGCAGCGAGACCGCGAGGUCAAGCGAAUCUCUAAAAACCAUCCUCAGUUCGGAUUGCAGGCUGCAACUCGCCUGCAUGAAGCUGGAAUCGCUAGUAAUUGCGGAUCAGCACGCCGCGGUGAAUACGUUCCCGGGUCUUGUACACACCGCCU